UUUCCGCAGGUGAACCUGCGGAAGGAUCAUUAUUGUAUAAUCGAGGUGCGAGGGCUGUCGCUGACCCGAAAGGUCGUGCACGCCCGAGUGCCCUCACACACAUCCAUCUCACCCCUAUGUGCACCACCGCGUGGGUCCCCCUUUGGCUUGUUCGGAGGGGGGCUUACGUUUUCACACAAACUUUGUAUGCAGUGUAGAAUGUAUUUUUUGUUUUUGCGAUCACGCAAUCAAUACAACUUUCAACAACGGAUCUCUUGGCUCUC
Molecule: unclassified non-coding RNA, 263 nt
Filed under: plant metagenome
Description: partial contains small subunit ribosomal RNA, internal transcribed spacer 1, and 5.8S ribosomal RNA
Source: RNAcentral